Molecule: small nuclear RNA, 189 nt
Filed under: Erinaceus europaeus (western European hedgehog)
Lineage: Eukaryota; Metazoa; Chordata; Mammalia; Eulipotyphla; Erinaceidae
Description: 7SK RNA
Rfam family: 7SK RNA
About the family: 7SK was discovered as an abundant small nuclear RNA in the mid-70s but a possible function has only recently been suggested.
Source: Rfam by way of RNAcentral
GGAUGUGAGGGUGAUCUGGCUGAGACAUCUGUUACCCCAUUGAUUGCCAGGGUUGAUUCAGCUGAUCUGGCUGGCUAGGCGGGUGUCCCCUUCCUCCCUCACCACUCCAUGUGCGUCCCUCCCAAAGCUGAAACUGCGCACUGGGUGGAAGAGGAUGGCCUUCCCCGAACAGAGACAGAAAGAGAAAUG